UAGGGAAUCUUCGGCAAUGGACGGAAGUCUGACCGAGCAACGCCGCGUGAGUGAAGAAGGUCUUCGGAUCGUAAAGCUCUUUUGUUAGAGAAGAACGUUGGUAGGAGUGGAAAAUCUACCAAGUGACGGUAACUAACCAGAAAGGGACGGCUAACUACGUGCCAGCAGCCGCGGUAAUACGUGGGUCCCGAGCGUUGUCCGGAUUUAUUGGGCGUAAAGCGAGCGCAGGCGGUUCUUUAAGUCGGAGGUUAAAGGCAGUGGCUUAACCAUUGUACGCUUUGGAAACUGGAGGGCUUGAGUGCAGAAGGGGAGAGUGGAAUUCCAUGUGUAGCGGUGAAAUGCGUAGAUAUAUGGAGGAACACCGGUGGCGAAGGCGGCUCUCUGGUCUGUAACUGACGCUGAGGCUCGAAAGCGUGGGGAGCAAACAGG
This 429-nucleotide ribosomal RNA is filed under the name Bacillota bacterium. RNAcentral describes it as "Firmicutes bacterium partial 16S ribosomal RNA". It matches the Rfam family "Bacterial small subunit ribosomal RNA", at positions 355 to 776 of the family's 1533-position model. Lineage: Bacteria; Bacillati; Bacillota. The record is from RNAcentral.